CCUACGGGAGGCAGCAGUGAGGAAUAUUGGUCAAUGGACGAGAGUCUGAAGCAGCCAAGUAGCGUGAAGGAUGACUGCCCUAUGGGUUGUAACCUUCUUUUAUAUGGGAAUAAAAUGUUCCACGUGUGGGAUUUUGUAUGUACCAUAUCAAUACGGCUCGGCUAACUCCGUGCCAGCAGCCGCGGUAAUACGGAGGAUCCGAGCGUUAGCCGGAUUUAUUGGGUGUAAAGGGAGCGUAGGUGGAUUGUUAAGUCAGUUGUGAAAGUUUGCGGCUCAACCGUAAAAUUGCAGUUGAAACUGGCAGUCUUGAGUACAGGAGAGGUGGGCGGAAUUCGUGGUGUAGCGGUGAAAUGCUUAGAUAUCACGAAGAACUCUGAUUGCGAAGGCAGCUCACUAGACUGCAACUGACACUGAGGCGCGAAAGUGUGGGUAUCAAACAGGAUUAGAUACCCUGGUAGUC
RNAcentral lists this ribosomal RNA (460 nucleotides) under uncultured bacterium. RNAcentral's name for it is "partial 16S ribosomal RNA". It matches the Rfam family "Bacterial small subunit ribosomal RNA", at positions 338 to 795 of the family's 1533-position model. The record is from RNAcentral.